UAUGCCCUAAUUUGGACCCGACGAUUAACCCUGGAAUUAGCGCCCGAAAGACCUCCUCUCCCCCUUCCCUAAUCUUCCCACAGCCGGUGGCGGCGGCGGCGUCUCUCUCUCUACGUGAAGGCGAUGGAUUCUGACGACGGGAAGCUCUUCAUUGGGGGUCUCUCGUGGGAUACCACGGAGGAAAGGCUCAGGGAGCACUUCAGCGACCAUGGCGAGGUCCUUGAUGCCGUCAUCAUGAGGGACAAGGCCACCGGCCGCCCCAGAGGUUUUGGGUUCGUCGUCUUUGCCGACCCCUCUAUACUCGAGCGUGUCCUCCAGGACAAGCACGUCAUUGAUGGCCGCACCGUGGAAGCCAAAUGGGCGCUUUCGAGGGAAGAACAACAAACAUCUGCAAGAUCUGGAAAUCUGAAUUCUGGAAAUUUUAAUGCUGGUAGGUCAGCUGGAGCAAGUUCUGGUGCAAACAUAAGAACCAAGAAGAUAUUUGUUGGAGGCUUGCCUCCUACUCUAACAGAGGAUGGGUUUCGUCAAUACUUUGAGUCCUUCGGAACAGUGACGGAUGCAGUUGUGAUGUAUGAUCAAAACACUCAUCGACCUCGAGGCUUUGGGUUCAUCUCCUUCGAAUCAGAGGAUACUGUAGAUAAUGUUCUUCAGAAGACGUUUCAUGAUCUGAAUGGAAAGGCUGUCGAAGUUAAGCGUGCUCUUCCAAAAGAUGCAAAUUCAAAUACUGGCAGUGGCCGAUCCAUGGGAAGUGGAUCUCAUCAAUCUUAUGGUGGUUCUAGUGGUAAUGCUAGCUUGUAUGAUAGCAGGACUGAUUCUAAUAGGUACAUUCAACCUCAAGGAGCUGGUGGUGGGCUUCCACCAUAUGGUUCCUCUGGCUAUGGUGCGCCUAGUUAUGGAUAUGGAGCAGCAAAUAAUGGUGUUGGAUAUGCAGGUUAUGGUGUUGGGGGUUAUGGGACUGGUGCUACUGGGUAUGCUGGACCUGCUGGUACCUAUGGAAAUCCUAAUGCUCCUAUGUCUGGUUAUGUAGGAGGCUCUCCAGGAGCUCAAAGAAAUCUCUGGAAUAAUCAGGUUCCUGGUUAUGGCUCUGCAGGAUAUGGUGGAACUGCAUCUUAUGGUCCAGCUCCUUCAUGGAAUGCUUCAACACCCAGUGGAGGAUCUGGUACAACACCGACAGGUCAAAGUGGUACUUCUGGGUACAUGGGCCAAGGUUAUGGGUAUGGUGGAUAUGGAGGGCCGGAAGGACCUUAUGGCAAUCAAGGUGGCUACGGCUCCUAUGGCACUCGUGGUAAUGGUGGUCCUAUUACUAAUUUUGCAGGCAAUGCAGGAGAACAAGGAGGCUCUGCUUACUCUGGUGGAGGUUAUACUAAUGCAAGCUCAGGUUAUCUCAAUUCUUGGAAGUCAGAACCUUCACAGGCUGGGUCAUACGGAUCUCCUCAGGUUAAUGGUCCUCCUGGUGCUCAAGCUAGUUAUGGAGGUGGUUAUGGUGGUCCUCAAGGCAGGCAAGUCCAGUAGCAGUGAAGGCAGGACCUUGGUUGGAAGCUCACCCUUCAGUGCUUAUCAGGAUAUAUCAUAUCUGGCAUUUAUGGAGAGCUAAAUUUAUCCUGGGCACUGCAGCAUGUGACUUUGGCACCACCUCCAAAUCGAGAAGCCUUUUACAGGUUGAGAGAGAGAAGCAUUCUCAAAGAGAGGUCGGAUGCCUGUGGUGUUUGUUUGAAGUUGGAACACUUAUCAUUGCUGGUUUGCAUUAUUCGGAAGUCAUGCUUCACAAAGGUGUCAUGGAGUAUUCUUUACAUUGUUAUGCCUAUCCUUGUGCUUGUUGUGAUUGCACUAAAACACCGGAGGUUCCCGACUAUAACUUACCAUGAAUUUUCCUUCUUUCUGGUGUAUCUGCAAAAUAUUGUUCUAGUUCCUUACCAGGUUUGGAAUUGUUUGUCUUGCUGAAAAACUGAUUAGCCUGAAUGUAUUAUGCACCAAUUGAUUUUGCCUAAACUCUGGAGGUUGCUGAAAGACCAUAAUUCAAUAUUUGUGAA
Molecule: RNA transcript, 2030 nt
Organism: Zingiber officinale
Lineage: Eukaryota; Viridiplantae; Streptophyta; Magnoliopsida; Zingiberales; Zingiberaceae
Gene name: heterogeneous nuclear ribonucleoprotein 1-like
Exons: 3
Source: RefSeq, a predicted model, not a curated record